UGAGCAAUCUGCCCUUCACGUCGGAAUAACCAUUGGAAACGAUGGCUAAUGCCGAAUAUGACUUCGGAUCGCAUGAUCUGAAGUGGAAAGCUCCGGCGGUGAAGGAUGAGCUCGCGGCCUAUCAGCUAGUUGGUGUGGGUAAUGGCCCACCAAGGCGACGACGGGUAGCCGGCCUGAGAGGGUGACCGGCCACACGUGGGACUGAGACACGGCCCAGAUCCCGUACGGGG
RNAcentral lists this ribosomal RNA (230 nucleotides) under uncultured bacterium. RNAcentral's name for it is "partial 16S ribosomal RNA". It matches the Rfam family "Bacterial small subunit ribosomal RNA", at positions 118 to 346 of the family's 1533-position model. The record is from RNAcentral.